RNAcentral lists this ribosomal RNA (471 nucleotides) under uncultured bacterium. RNAcentral's name for it is "partial 16S ribosomal RNA". It matches the Rfam family "Bacterial small subunit ribosomal RNA", at positions 29 to 507 of the family's 1533-position model. The record is from RNAcentral.
ACGAACGCUGGCGGCGUGCUUAACCCAUGCAAGUCGAACGCUGAAGCUUGGUGCUUGCACUGGGUGGAUGAGUGGCGAACGGGUGAGUAAUACGUGAGUAACCUGCCCUUGACUCUGGGAUAAGCCUGGGAAACUGGGUCUAAUACUGGAUACGACAUGUCACCGCAUGGUGGUGUGUGGAAAGGGUUUUACUGGUUUUGGAUGGGCUCACGGCCUAUCAGCUUGUUGGUGGGGUAAUGGCUCACCAAGGCGACGACGGGUAGCCGGCCUGAGAGGGUGACCGGCCACACUGGGACUGAGACACGGCCCAGACUCCUACGGGAGGCAGCAGUGGGGAAUAUUGCACAAUGGGCGGAAGCCUGAUGCAGCGACGCCGCGUGAGGGAUGACGGCCUUCGGGUUGUAAACCUCUUUCAGCACGGAAGAAGCGAAAGUGACGGUACGUGCAGAAGAAGCGCCGGCUAACUACGUG